Non-coding RNA from Macaca mulatta (Rhesus monkey), 603 nucleotides. The record is from RefSeq and is a predicted model, not a curated record. NCBI's taxonomy places the organism in Eukaryota, Metazoa, Chordata, Mammalia, Primates, Cercopithecidae.
CCUCCCCAUGUGCUACAUACUAAAUCAGUGCUACGGUUUACUUCCACUUGGACAAAAUGAAGAUAGCAGAGAAGGAAAGGAAAGUAAAAGUCAUAUAAAAGUGGGUCUGGAGUAAACAACAGACGAACUGAGCUAUUUUUGAAAGAACAUGACCACCUUCAAAAGAGAAUGAAGCAAUUCAAGUAUACACAUCUUUAAUAAUUUGUUUAGGCUAUAAACAUGCUGAGAAGACAGAAAUCAAAAGGUAUUUUUCCAUCUUAGAUCAAAGUAUAAAGUCUCAGACAAUUUUACAUACAAUAUUCUUUAUAUAUAUUAUAUACUUUAUAUACAUUUCUUUCAACAUUCUUGUGAAGAAGUUUGUGUGUGCCAAACCUAUACAGUGAGAAACUGAGAUAGGAUGAAACUGAAUGGAAUGAGAGCUUCAAUAUAUAUAUACUUCCAAUAUAUACACUUUACAUAUAUUAUAUAUUUUAUAUACAUUUCUUUCAACAUUCUUGUGAAGAAGUUUGUGUGUGCCAAAUCUAUACAGAGAGAAACUGAGAUAGGAUGAAACUGAAUGGAAUGAGAGCGUCUGAUGAAUUAGAGGAGUUGUUGAUUGUGAAA